ACGGGAGGCCGCAGCGGCUCACGGGCCUGCGCGGGGCUGCGCGGCGCCUCCGCCGCCUUCCGCCGGGCCGCGACUUCGUCCCCGGGGGGCUCCCCGGGCUCCGGUGCGGGGGCCCGGCCCGGGCGGCGCUGACUCUCUCCAGGCCCCGCCGCUCCCGCGGCUGCUGCUCCGGGCUGCGGCUCCACUGCAGGCCCCGGCUCCUCCCCGGCCGCCGCUCCGCCUCCCCCGGCUCCCCCCGGCCGCGGCCGCCCCCGCCUCCCCGGGUUAAGGAGGCGCCGGGCCGGGGGACCUGCGGCUGCCCGCCCGCUCUGCCAGUUGGAGGGGAGGAGCUGCCCUCCCGCCGGGAUCGGCCGGGGCCACCCUCGGCACUGGGGCUCACUUCACCGCGCAGGUGGCUGUGGGGCCCUCGCCCCAGGCCGCUGCCAGCAGCCGCCCUUCGCCGCUCCAAGUGGGGGGCAGCGGCUGCGGGGUCAGCCCUGCGACACGGGGGCUCACAAGUGGCCAGCCUGGGUCGGGGUUUGCGCCCUGGGUGACCUGCUUCAGCUCCGAGUCAACUCUCAUCCCAAAACAAUGCAGAUCUCGGACCCUAGUAAUCUACCCUCAAGCCUUCCAGCUAGAACCAUAUAAGAAACUCCAUUUAAUUCACAUCAUUAAUAUGUAUAAAUAUCGGAAGUGGGGGAUCCUAAGAAGAUGCAAUGAGGCUUUUCUCAAUGGUGCCAACCAGCAGGAUGAAGAGGCAGAAGCUGAUUUACAAGUUCCACAUGAACAUGGGAAAGAACUUCUUUACUGUGCAGGUAAACUGUACUGUACAGAUUGUCAACUGGAAAAGGCUGCCCAGAGUGGUUGUGGAGUCUCUCUCAUGUAAGCUACUCAAGAACCAUCUAGACACAAUGCUGCACAAUGCUCUCUGGGAUGACCCUGUUAAAACAAGGAGGCUGGACCAGAUGACCCACUGUGGUCCCUUCCAACCUAACUCAUUCUGUGACUCUCACUGUGCUAUCCCACUUUCACCCAGCUGGCCAAAAACUUGGAGUCUCCUGUUGAUGUGUCUUGGAGGCAGACAAGACAGCAGUCCAUUAUAACAUGAACGGGGACCGUGCAGUAAAGCAUGCUAAAUAAGAGCCAAUACUCUAAAAUGCAUGCGUGAGGAGGAGCAGGUGCUGCCUGGCGUCCCAUACACCUGCAGCCAGUGUCAUAGGCAGAUCAUUUUGAUGUGUCAAUCUGAAAAGCACAACUGAAACAGCCCCCCUCGGGGCCCCUAUCCCAGUUAUCUGAAAGUCGCCCUGUAUUUGAUCAUCUCAUCUUUUUGUGUGUGGUUUCUCAUCUGCAUCCUUCCAAAUGGUAGCACUGCUGGUAAGGCUUGAAGUAGAGGACAGCACACAUACUGAGAGGAAAUGGCAUUUUCUGAGAAAAUAUUUCUUUUUUCUUUCUAGAAACUGUAAUAUGGAAAUUGAGAUAGUAAAGGGGGUGUUUUAUGA
Long non-coding RNA from Parus major (Great Tit), 1478 nucleotides. RefSeq lists it as uncharacterized. Lineage: Eukaryota; Metazoa; Chordata; Aves; Passeriformes; Paridae. The transcript has 2 exons. The record is from RefSeq and is a predicted model, not a curated record.